CAGCCGCCACGGGAAUACAGAGGGUGCGAGCGUUAAUCGGAUUUACUGGGCGUAAAGCGUGCGUAGGCGGCUUCUUAAGUCGGAUGUGAAAUCCCUGAGCUUAACUUAGGAAUUGCAUUCGAUACUGGGAAGCUAGAGUAUGGGAGAGGAUGGUAGAAUUCCAGGUGUAGCGGUGAAAUGCGUAGAGAUCUGGAGGAAUACCAAUGGCGAAGGCAGCCAUCUGGCCUAAUACUGACGCUGAGGUACGAAAGCAUGGGGAGCAAACAGGAUUAGAUACCCGCGUAGUCCCUGUCUCUUAUAC
Molecule: ribosomal RNA, 301 nt
Filed under: uncultured bacterium
Lineage: Bacteria
Description: partial 16S ribosomal RNA
Rfam family: Bacterial small subunit ribosomal RNA
Source: RNAcentral